This 506-nucleotide ribosomal RNA is filed under the name uncultured bacterium. Its description in RNAcentral is "SSU rRNA". It matches the Rfam family "Bacterial small subunit ribosomal RNA", at positions 26 to 503 of the family's 1533-position model. The record is from RNAcentral.
AGAACGAACGCUGGCGGCGUGGAUAAGACAUGCAAGUCGAGCGCUGAUUACGGGGUAGCAAUAUUCCGUGGUCGGAGCGGCGCAAGGGUGCGUAACACGUGGGUAAUCUGCCAUGAAGUUCGGGAUAACUUGCUGAAAGGCGAGCUAAUACCGGAUGUGACAAUUGAAAGACAUCUUUUUAUUGUUAAAGUUGGGGACCGUAAGGCCUGACGCUUCUUGAUGAACCCGCGGCCUAUCAGCUAGUUGGUGAGGUAACGGCCCACCAAGGCUAAGACGGGUAGCUGGUCUGAGAGGACGACCAGCCACACUGGAACUGAGACACGGUCCAGACACCUACGGGUGGCAGCAGUCGAGAAUUUUUCACAAUGGGCGCAAGCCUGAUGGAGCGACGCCGCGUGGGGGAUGGAAUGGCUUCGGCCCGUAAACCCCUGUCCAUUUGGGAACAAGGCCUUACGUUAACUGCGUGGAGGUUUGAUAGUACCAGAAGAGGAAGAGACGGCUAACUC